RNAcentral lists this ribosomal RNA (501 nucleotides) under uncultured bacterium. RNAcentral's name for it is "partial 16S ribosomal RNA". It matches the Rfam family "Bacterial small subunit ribosomal RNA", at positions 30 to 523 of the family's 1533-position model. The record is from RNAcentral.
AUUGAACGCUGGCGGCAGGCUUAACACAUGCAAGUCGAGCGGGGAAGGGUAGCUUGCUACCUAACCUAGCGGCGGACGGGUGAGUAAUGCUUAGGAAUCUGCCUAUUAGUGGGGGACAACAUUCCGAAAGGAAUGCUAAUACCGCAUACGCCCUACGGGGGAAAGCAGGGGAUCUUCGGACCUUGCGCUAAUAGAUGAGCCUAAUUCAGAGUAGCUAGUUGGUGGGGUAAAGGCCUACCAAGGCGACGAUCUGUAGCGGGUCUGAGAGGAUGAUCCGCCACACUGGGACUGAGACACGGCCCAGACUCCUACGGGAGGCAGCAGUGGGGAAUAUUGGACAAUGGGCGCAAGCCUGAUCCAGCCAUGCCGCGUGUGUGAAGAAGGCCUUUUGGUUGUAAAGCACUUUAAGCGAGGAGGAGGCUACUUGGAUUAAUACUCUAGGAUAGUGGACGUUACUCGCAGAAUAAGCACCGGCUAACUCUGUGCCAGCAGCCGCCGUAA